Molecule: unclassified non-coding RNA, 204 nt
Filed under: Hevea brasiliensis (rubber tree)
Lineage: Eukaryota; Viridiplantae; Streptophyta; Magnoliopsida; Malpighiales; Euphorbiaceae
Source: RNAcentral
AGCAAUUCGAGUUUUCAACUUCCUGGCUUUCGUAUGCCUGCAAUGCUCAAGGAUGAAGAAGUAAGUGAUUCUGAUGGUGAGAGUUUUGAGGCUGUCACUCCCGAACACCCUGCUGGGAAGCCCAAUGGAGAAGAGGCUAUCCUGGUUAUUGAGAAGCACAAACGUAUCCUGGAAGAUGUUGAUGGUGAACUUGAAAUGGAAGAU